Mastomys coucha (southern multimammate mouse) is the source of this 421-nucleotide long non-coding RNA. RefSeq lists it as uncharacterized. The transcript has 3 exons. NCBI's taxonomy places the organism in Eukaryota, Metazoa, Chordata, Mammalia, Rodentia, Muridae. The record is from RefSeq and is a predicted model, not a curated record.
UGAUGAGCUCAGAAGCUGCUGGAAGGAGAUGAAGAGAGAAGAGACAGGGACUAACAUUGUCUUCUGGAUCCAAUAUGCUGGAGCAAUGGAGCAGGUUUCCCUCUAAGGAGUCGCCUGUCUAACCUCCCGCCAGGAGGCCUCCCUGCUUUCCCAGCCACUGCUGCCAGCCAUGCCAAGCUGCUCUCCACCAAGCCACCAGCCAGGCAAGACUCUCAUCCCGAAGGUAUAGAGGUUCCUAAGGGAGGAAGAGAGGAUUUCCUUAAAAAGAAACAGAUUCUGUUUGGACGUGGUGGUAUACACCCAUGCACCAAGAAAAACCAGCACUCAAGAAACAGAGGCAGGAGGAUGAUGACUUUGAAGCCAUCUUGGACUACAAGAAACCCUACCUAAAAAAAUAAAAUAAAAUAAACAGUGGCAACCA